This is a transfer RNA of Neurospora tetrasperma FGSC 2509, 86 nucleotides long. It matches the Rfam family "tRNA". Rfam says of the family: Transfer RNA (tRNA) molecules are approximately 80 nucleotides in length. Their secondary structure includes four short double-helical elements and three loops (D, anti-codon, and T loops). Lineage: Eukaryota; Fungi; Ascomycota; Sordariomycetes; Sordariales; Sordariaceae. The record is from Rfam.
GGGAUUGUAGUAUAGUGGUCAGUACUUCUCGUUGUGGUUUCUCACAGCGAUCCGAGAGGACCCAGGUUCGAUUCCUGGCAAUCCCA